AUACGGAGGGUGCGAGCGUUAAUCGGAAUUACUGGGCGUAAAGCGUGCGCAGGCGGUUUUGUAAGUCAGAUGUGAAAUCCCCGGGCUUAACCUGGGAACUGCGUUUGAAACUGCAAGGCUAGAGUGUGGGAGAGGGGGGUGGAAUUCCGCGUGUAGCAGUGAAAUGCGUAGAGAUGUGGAGGAACACCGAUGGCGAAGGCAGCCCCCUGGGUUAACACUGACGCUCAGGCACGAAAGCAUGGGGAGCAAACAGGAUUAGAUACCCCGGUAGUCC
RNAcentral lists this ribosomal RNA (274 nucleotides) under uncultured bacterium. Its description in RNAcentral is "partial 16S ribosomal RNA". It matches the Rfam family "Bacterial small subunit ribosomal RNA", at positions 523 to 796 of the family's 1533-position model. The record is from RNAcentral.